AAUGGAAAGCUAAAAAACUUACAUUUAAAAAAAAAAAAACUUACUUUUUUGCAAUGCAAUAAUAAAUUCUGAGUAUUUAUUUGCAAGGAAUGAACCUUUAUUAAUCUGGAUUUAGGAAACAAAAAGUAAUAAAUGCAAAGUGCAAACCCCAGAAGGAGAAGGGGUCAGGAGUGUUUCAGUCCACUGUCUAUCUAAUCCCACGAACUUUGGGGUCUAAUCUUCUCUACGAUCACUUACGUGUUGUCAUCUCCCUGAUUUAUGAUUACAUCUAUGCCCUAAAACAUAUAAAACUUUGUUUAUAGAAAACCAGAUAACCUUUAAGAUUUACAAAUGCUAUAUAAUUAGUAUGUAUAUAACCAAGCAUUUAAAUAAUUAUUUGAUUGCUUUACCGCUGGUUUUUUUUUUGGUAAACAAUUUCUUUUCAGUAUCUGGAAGUGUGAAAAGGGUAAACAAAUAUCGUAUAUUAUGAAUAUACAACCAAAAAUAAUAUGAAGCUUUCUUCAUUUGCAGAGCAACCAAAAAUAAUAUCGUAAAAUCCAGAGUGGUUCACGUACUAAUUGGAGUGAACAAUCCUACUUAAGUAAGCCUUGUCAAUAAACAGUGAACCCAAAGAAUAGGAAAAGGACAAAAGAAAGCCGUUUGAUAGAAAAAAUGAUUUAAAAAGAAACUGAGCCGAUAAGAAAACUUUGCUGUGGAAAGUUAACCAAUGAGGAAACGACAGGUCAAAUCGGAGUUCUGAGAGUCUGCCAUUUUAAUGCUCAGUCUGUUUUAUUUGACUGUCUCUCUCACACCCUAUCCUCCCCUCUCCUUCUCAGUCCCUCAGUUUCCUCUUAGACCAGGUCCAGUAGAGGGUCUUCCUCUAUUUUGGGCACAGUAUCAUAUGCGAAUUGGGUUUUAAAAAAAAGAAAAAAGGUCCAACUCGGAAGGGGCGGUUCAUCCCGUCGACCCUGAAGACUCCGUAUGCGAACCACGUGGCAUCCGUCGGUUGGGUGUGGAAAGCGCGUCAUUUUGGGGGAAAACAAAAAAAAAAACCAGAGAAAGAAACAUUUCUCUUUCUUCCCCGAUUUUCUUCUUCUCUCGUUCGUCUUCUCGCGAUUCCGUCGUCACCGCGUGUUUCGUCGAUUAUUCCCGGUGGAGGUGCAAUCCGAACAUCGAUCUUCAGUCCCCAUAGUCCUGGUAAGCUUCGGUUCCUUCUAUUUUUAUGUGUUUAUUUCGAUUUCGCGAUUCUAGGGUUUGCGAUUUUUGGGGGAAAAAAAUUCGGGUUGAAAUCGGGUGUUUUUUUGUUCGAUUUCGGUGGAUUAGAGGGUUUAGCGGUUGUCUUUGGUACCCCAAAUCUAGUAUUCGGUACGAAUUUAGUAGAUUUGCAAACCCUAGAUUCGUUGAAAUUUUAGGGUUUUCGAAAUUGGUCAUAAAUUUUGGGGGUUUCAUUUUGGGAUUGGAAUUGGCCUCUAAUUCGUUCAUUUAAAACCGUAAUAUCCUUAUUUCGAAUACGAUUUCAUGGUUUCAAGAUUGCAAAAUCUGAAUAUUGGUGCGAUGAACUAAGUUUAUUUGGGGCUUUGUGUUGGUAUUCAAACUGGGUCAGGGUCGAUACAUUAUCAAGAUUCGUGUGUAUCUUAAAAGCCAUUUGCUUCUUAUUUGUUGUUUGCUAUAUGGUAUUUUGCUAUAUGAUUGGCUUCUUAUGGUUAUAUGAACUGGUUAAUCGCUUAUGAGUUUUUGGUUGAAAUGGUUACUCAUUUGUUGUUUGCUAUAUAUUAGUAGAUGAAAUGAUCAUAUUGCAUAAGUUCAUAUCAUAUUGUAAUCAUCUGAGUUCAUAUAGUUUAGCUAAUCAUAUUGUUUAGAACUGGGAUAGGAUUGAUUACUAAGUAGGGUAACAUUAAAUUUUUUAACUUCGGCUCAAUUAAUGUACUUGUUUUAAUUCUCUUUUUAUCUUUUGUUGUGAGGAUAAUAUGGACUCAACGGAACAAGGGUUUGGCUUCGUGGCUUCAUCUUCUCCGAUGGUGUAUGGUCCACCGAAACAGGUUAGUUCUCCUGUAACUUAAUGGUUUAGCUGAGUAGUUUAGAUGGAACGUGGUAUAUUUGUGUUUAUUGCUUGAUAGGACUUGUUAGGUGUAGUAAUAAUAUCCACCUGUUCUCAAAAACUCUCAAAACAUGUUCUGAAAAUAAAGCCAAAGCUUUAACUAAUAAUAAGACACCCAACCAACACUUACAAGACACAUAACCACUACCAUUAAGACACUUAAAAGACAUUCAACCAUAAAUCAAUUACUCUCUUUUAACAAAUCCUUUACUUAUCUACUUCACUCUUUCUUUCACGCCUCUCUUCACUCUUUCUCUUUCGCUUCUUCUUCACUCUUUCUCUUUCGCUUCUUCUUCACUCUUCCAACUCGGUGACUAUCAUUAUUGUCUUCACUCUUUCUUUCACACUUUCUUUCAUCGACAUGGAUUCUCAGAACUCAUUUACGCCCUCUGAAGGGUUUGUUCACCUUCUAAGUAGUCAGUUAAACCCUGAAUCGUACUCUCCGUGCAUAGACUUAGGAUCAUCAGACAUUCCCUUGUUUAGCACACAAGGAUCUGAUGGUCCUCCUGAUAUUGCAAUGAAGAGAAAACUCUGGAGUCCGAAGGAAGACUUGCUCCUGAUUAGUUCUUGGCUCAACACCAGCAAGGAUCCCAUAGUGGGCAAUGAACAAAAGGCCGGUGCAUUCUGGAAGAGGAUCCAGAUCUAUUACAACGGAUGCGAGGAGCUUGGAGAUCUGCCAAGAAGGGAAUGGUCGCAGUGCAAGCAACGAUGGGGAAGGAUUAAUGACCACGUAUGUAAAUUUGUGGGUUCAUACGCAGCUGCACAGAAAGAAAAAAGUAGCGGUCAGAAUGAAAACGAUGUAAUGAAGCUUGCACAUGAAAUUUUUUUCAACGACUACGGCGUUAAGUUUGCCCUCGAACACGCAUGGAGAGAGCUGAUGUUCGACCAGAAAUGGUGCACGACCAGCUCACAAAAGGAUGGUGCAUCUGUCAAAAAACGAAAAGUAGAAGACUCGGCACAGUCAUCAUCGUCGAUGCCUGGAAGCGUGAAUGAAAGUGAAGUUGAGGCUCGCCCUGCUGGUGUCAAGGCUUCGAAGGCCAAUGCGAAGAAAGCAGGCGGUGUUAAGGGUGAAAACAAGGAUAUGCAAGAGUUUUCUUCCAUCUUAGCUAUGAAACAUAAGGACCUUGAAAUGAAAGACAAGAUUAGGGACAAGAGGAUUCUUGAGAGCCUCUUAGCUAAGCCUGGACCGCUAACUGAGAUUGAAAUCUCACUGAAAAACAAGUUGAUCAGUUCUGUGUAUGGUCUUUAGGGUACAUCUAUUCAGUCGGUAUGGUUUGGACAGAAAAACAAGUUAGUGGCUGUUGUUUUAUCCUUAACUCUAUUCAGUCGGUAUGGUUUGAGUCAUAUUGUUCUUUGCCUUAGAAUACGAUCUUUCAUGUAUUAAGUUGUUGUUGGAUGUUUGGUAUGAUCUACUAUUUCAUGUUGGUGUUUUCUUGCUUAAAGAUUGAUAUUCAUUCGGUAUUGUUUGAGUGAGAUUGUUAUUUGCCUUAGAAUAUGAUAUUUCAUGUAUAAAGUUGUUGUUUUAUGUUUGGUAUGAUCUUCUAUUUCAUUUUACUUGCUUCUGACCUGCACGUUUUUUUUUUCAGGAAGUGUCACAGCAAGUUGGGCAGUACAACAACCCUGACACGUCCGUGACUAUAUGCUCAAAUCAAGGAGGGGCCAUUUUCUGUUGUUGUUUUCCCUUGUAACCGCAUAUUUUGUCUUGUAAUAUUGACCAUAUGUUCCCGAAGUAGAAUUGUAGCCACAUCUUUGAACUUUAAGCCGUCUAUUUAUAUGUCUUAUAACUAUUGUAUGUUCAUUCGUAGCAAAUUUCCUUCUUCCUCAUUUUCUCAUAUUGAUCUGCAAUCACUUCAUCUUUCCUACAUAGCUUGGUAAACUUCUUUUAUAUUCAAAAACUCUUUCUCUCCUUAUCCUCUCCCACAAAUUUCUAAAUACAUACUAUGGCGGCAUCAUCAAGCAAUGAUCGAUUGGAUGAUGCAUAUGAUGAUGCAGUUGAUGAUGCAUUAGAUGAUGCAUUAGAUGAUGCAUUUGAUGAGAAGUUUGAAGCCAUGUUCAAUUCGUUUGUAAAACAAAAUGAAGAAAAAAUGAAAAAGAAAAAAAGAGCGUACAUUGAAAGAGAGCGUGAAAAAGGUCACUUGCGGUUAUGGAAUGAUUAUUUCAGUGAUGAUGCAACUUAUCCGCCACAUAUUUUCCGACGACGAUUUAGAAUGACCAAAGAUUUGUUCAUGCGUAUUGUCACCCGACUUGCCGAUGAGGUUCCGUACUUCCAGCAAAGAAGAAAUGCCACCGGAAGAUUAGGGCUAUCUCCUCUACAAAAAUGCACGGCAGCAAUCCGUAUGAUGGCAUAUGGUACCGCAGCGGAUGCAGUUGACGAAUAUCUCCGGCUAGGUGCUACUACGGCAUUGUUAUGCUUGGAACAUUUCACUGAGGGUAUAAUAUCCUUGUUCGGAGAUGAGUAUCUAAGAAGACCCACAGCUGAUGAUCUUCAACGGUUACUGAACAUUGGAGAGCAACGGGGCUUUCCCGGAAUGAUAGGAAGCAUCGAUUGUAUGCAUUGGGAGUGGAAGAAUUGUCCAACUGCAUGGAGAGGACAAUAUACACGCGGGUCAGGAAAACCGACAAUCGUUUUAAAGGCAGUUGCAUCACAAGAUCUUUGGAUAUGCACGCGUUUUUUGGACCUCCAGGUACAUUAAAUGAUAUUAACGUUCUUGAUCGUUCACCAGUUUUUGAUGACAUCUUGUAUGGUCGGGCUCCAAAAGUGAGAUAUUCGGUAAACGGUAACGAGUACCAUUUGCCAUACUAUCUCACAGACGGAAUUUAUCCUAAAUGGGCAACAUUUAUACAAUCAAUUCAUCUUCCUCAAGGAGAGAAAAACAAAUUAUUCGCAACAACUCAAGAAUCCGUCCGGAAAGAUGUGGAGCGGGCUUUUGGCGUUCUUCAAGCCAGAUUUGCAAUAAUAAAAAAUCCGGCGCUUUUCUGGGAUAAAGAAAAAAUUGGCAAGAUUAUGCGGGCCUCUAUCAUAUUACACAAUAUGAUAGUAGAAAACGAACGACAUGGCUACAUUUGAUACAAUUUAGAAGACUUCCAUCAAGAUGAAGAAAGCAGAAAUUCGCAUGUCGAUAUGACGUAUUCUACCCGUAUGUCUACAAAUGUCCAAAAUUUGAUGAUGGCAAAACGAAACGAAGUCCGUGACAACCAGAUACAUCAACGAUUAAAAGAGGAUUUAAUAGAAAAUAUAUGGAAUAAGUUUGGUUAAGUUUUUAAAUUUUUUCAUGUAUUGUAUGUUUCUAAUUUCCUUGUAUUAAAUUUUACUCUUAUAUAUUGUAUGUUCUAAAAUAAUGUGUAAUAAAUUGUAUUUCUUUUAUUAUAAUAAAUGUGUGUUUUUGUUUAAAAAAAAAAUCUAAAUUUCAAAAAAAAAAAAUAAAUCUCGGGAUGAACCCCAAAAUGGAAUUCACUACUGGAACCCCUAUUUUCACCCGAGUUCUUCCCAAACCACCCAACUAAAAAAUAUAGUUUUUUAAUGCUGAUGAACCCCUCUAAGGGGUUCACUAGUGGACUUGCUCUUACCUUUUCUUUGUCCUUUCUUUCAUUUCCAAUUUUUCUAUAAAACUUUAUUUAUCAAUAUAUAGCAUUACUACAUAAUUUAUAAUAUUGUUAUUAUUAUGAUAUAUCAUCAUGUUCAUCAUUGCGCCUUGCGACUGUUCUUACCACUGUUAUUUAACUGUUGGAGUUUUAGAAUCCUGGAAACUGAAAAGAUUGAAUAAUGUGAUCUAAAGCCUCUAUUACUACCCUAUUCUUCUGCAUUAAUUCAUAUUAUUAAAAAAUAUAUAUUGAACUCGACUGAAUACAUUUUUUUUUCUUUUAUUGUCAACGGUUCAAAAAUACAAUAUCUAUAUAAUCUUCUCAAAAUUUUAAUAUAACUCAGUAAUUGAAUAUACUAAUUAAAUAAAUAAUUUGUAAAAUGAAUUAGACGCGUAAGAACAAAGUAAUUUUGUUAUAUCAUAGGUUUAGAGUUGCACAACUUUAAGAUUCCCUCCAGGGCCGACUUCUACUUUGUAGCGUUUAAAGUUCGACUUUUUUCUAUGCUUUGUGCUUAGUACUUUAAAUGGAAAACAGACCACUCGUAGUGACGUUUAGUGAAAAUUAAUAUCGCAAGGGCCACAAAAACGAGAAAUGGGCCUAAAUCUGGGCCAGUCCAUUGCAUUCUAUCUCAUUUUUGAUUAAUCAAUUUUGUUUUUUUUGUUUUUAAUUCAGAACACGUAUUACAAAAUUUGGCUGACGUUGACUGCCCAUCACCCCAGCUCCUUCUCUGUCAUUUGCUUUCCGAAUAAUGGGUGGCAUUAAACGACAUCGUGUAAGCGUCGCACGAACCUUCUUCCUCCUCUCUUCGCAUCUUGAAACAAAAUUCGAUGUGCUCUCACUUUCAAUUCUGGGCGUGAUCUAGUAGGAAUCGGCAGCGAAUUUUAUAUUUUGUUCCACUUUCGAAGUCACAAUCUCGACGAACUCUUUCUAGCAACUACCUCUUCUUCUGAUAUUUCAACUGUCUUUUCUUCUUCUUCUUCUUCUUCUUCUGCUAAGCCAACCUUCAUAUACAUAUAUUUUCUUCCGAUAAACUGGGAGUCUGUGUGUUUUAGUUUUUUUCUUAUUUGUAUGAGGAGGCAAACUUUCUGAGAGGUUGAAAUGAAGUUUUCGAGCUGGAUUUUGAUCUUCCUCGUUUGUAAUCUUACCGUCUCGACGAUUUCUGCUUUCCGUCUGAGCCGAAGUCAACCAACCGAGCGAAUUUCAGGUGAGUUCUAUCUACUCAUGCAGAGAUGUUAAUCUCAGGAUUUAGUGAAUGAUUGCUUUUCCCCAAUUUUUUACUUGGAUUAAGCAGUAGUGAGCUCUGUGGUCAUCAACUUACACAGCGACUCGAAUGAGGACUAGGGUUUAUUUUUGGUCUAAGUCUUUCUGUGAUUGAUUUUCAUUUUCACGCAUUGUUUUGGAGUCUAAUUGAAUCUGGGGAUAGUGUAAAGCAGGAUGCAUAUUGAUUUGUCAUGCAAGAAACAAUAGUCAUUCAACAGUUAGCCAAUCCAGUAUCAUGUCAUUUUGAUCUUUUUAACUUUAGUUUUGCAAUAUCUCUGAGUUUCUGUAGAAUUUCUUACUUAUCUAUCCAUAGCCUUUCCUUAGUGAUAUCCAUGUUUUGAUGCUCGAAUCAAAAUCACGUGAACUUUAAGUGUGUGCGUGGUUUUUUUGUUUUAUGAUGUGUAGGUAGUGCUGGUGAUGUGUUGGAAGAUGAUCCCGUGGGAAGACUGAAAGUCUUUGUUUAUGAGCUUCCAAGCAAAUACAACAAGAAGAUACUACAGAAGGACCCGAGAUGUCUCACCCACAUGUUUGCUGCUGAGAUCUAUAUGCAACGGUUUCUUUUGUCCAGUCCAGUUCGAACACUUAAUCCUGAGGAAGCUGAUUGGUUCUACGUCCCAGUGUACACCACUUGUGAUCUCACUCCAAACGGGCUUCCUCUGCCCUUUAAAUCUCCCCGAAUGAUGAGAAGUGCUAUUCAGCUCAUUGCUUCCAACUGGCCUUACUGGAACCGCACUGAAGGAGCUGACCACUUCUUUGUUGUGCCUCAUGACUUUGGAGCCUGCUUCCAUUAUCAGGUAAUCCAAAUAAUCUUCUCUGAAUCUCUUGUUAUGUGCCCCUGCUUCAUCUAUGCUUUCUGCACAAAACUUGAUGCACAUUGUGAAUGAUUGUGUGCUACUGUUUGAAAUUAUCUCUAGCUCUGCAAGUUGUGAAGAAAACAUUGUUUCAUACAUUUUAACUGAAUCAUAGACAAUCCAGUUAAAUACUGUUUGUGUUUGGAAUAUUUUUUGGGGCUGAGUUAUGUGCAUGUUUCAUGAUGUCCCCCUGUACCUCCUUCUGAACUAACCAAAAGUCCGUAGCUAGUGUUGAGUAAAUCUUAAUACUCAGUGUUAUACUCUCUAACAUUGGCAAUUAACUUGACUUCCAAGCCCUUUUUGAUGUAACAAAAGCUUUUAUUUGGACGUAAGCCGUAAUAUAUCCCUUCCGCCAUGACUACCAAAGAUUCUUUCCAGCUAUACUGCAAACUUAAAAAAAUACGCACUGAUCUCUUGUUUUUCUUCUACUGUGGCAGGAAGAGAAGGCAAUAGGAAGAGGAAUACUACCCUUGCUUCAACGGGCUACACUGGUGCAGACAUUUGGUCAGAGAAAUCAUGUUUGCUUAAAAGAAGGUUCAAUCACUGUUCCUCCGUAUGCUCCACCGCAGAAGAUGCAGUCACACUUGAUUCCCGAGAAAACUCCUCGAUCCAUCUUCGUUUAUUUCAGAGGAUUGUUUUAUGACGUGGGAAAUGACCCCGAGGGUGGUUAUUAUGCGAGGUAAUUUGAUCUGAAUGCUUAACCAUGCAAUGAAGGUUCAUAGACUUACUACCAUCCCUGAAUUGCUCAUAUAAUCAGCGAUGAUAUUUUCUUUGUCAAAAUGGGCACAGGGGCGCACGAGCAGCUGUGUGGGAAAACUUCAAGGACAAUCCACUGUUCGACAUCUCAACAGAGCACCCGACAACAUAUUAUGAGGACAUGCAGAGAGCAAUCUUCUGCUUAUGCCCACUUGGAUGGGCCCCAUGGAGUCCAAGACUUGUGGAAGCCGUGAUCUUCGGUUGCAUCCCUGUGAUCAUAGCAGACGACAUCGUCCUACCUUUUGCAGAUGCGAUCCCUUGGGAAGAUAUUGGUGUGUUUGUUGAUGAGAAGGAUGUUCCUUACCUGGACACAAUACUGACAUCGAUCCCACCGGAGGUUAUACUGAGAAAACAGAGGCUGUUGGCUAACCCGUCGAUGAAACAGGCGAUGCUGUUCCCGCAACCGGCUCAACCAGGGGAUGCGUUUCAUCAAGUGUUGAAUGGAUUGGCUCGUAAGCUGCCUCAUGAGAGGAAUGUGUAUCUUAGACCAGGUGAGAAGCUGUUGAACUGGACGGCAGGACCGGUUGCUGAUCUGAAACCUUGGUGAGGACAAAGGUGAUAGAAGAGAGGUGGAAUUUGAUAGAAUUGAUUCUUUUGGUUAUUGGUUGUUCUCUUCUUGUUUCUGUAUUUUGUAGAAUCAGAACCCUUUUUUCUUCUUUUUAUUUGUUCUGUAGAACGGAAAAUGCUUCAUCAUUGUAAUGAAACUAGAAUCUUUUUGAGAGUUUGACAUUCCACGAAAAAAAAAGAGCCAAAAUUGGUUCUCGUUCUCUUUACGUUUUUCAAUCAUUCUAGAGAAAAUUGAAAUCGAAUGCAUCUUUCUCUAUGUGUAUAGGUUUGUUGUGUUCACAGAUGAAGUGAAUUUAAUGAAGUGAAUUUAUCUAUGGCAAAAAUUAAUUAUUCUUCUCGUGAAGUGGAACCUCGUAUGAAAAAAGGUAAAUUGCCGUUUACUAAACUAGUAGAGAAAUAGUGAUUUUUGUUAAAAAGUCCGACCUGCCGGAAUCGAACUAGCGACCUAAAGAUUUCUUUGGGAGAACCCACUACAGUCUUCCGCUCUACCAACUGAGCUAAGGUCGGUUACUAAUUUGAUUCGUUAUUGAUUAUACAUAAUUUAUAAUUACGAGAACUCUAAGUGAAGCUCACCACCAUUGACUUACCAAGUGGGAUUGAUUUUCAUACCAAAAAGGAGUGAAUGAAGUGGGAUUGAGUUUCAAAAAACCUUUGACCGAAAACGAUGGCACUAGACGAAAGCAACAUAAUUUAUUCAAACGUUAACGAAACUUUCAACAACCCUCAGAAGUUUAUCUCACGUCUCUCUGCAAAGAAUUUGCCGGUCACCGCCUCUUCAGAGAGAACCAUGCUAAGCCAAACUCCGGUAUCAGCUGCAUCUUCAGGCGACAUAUUUCCGGCGUAGCCAGUCAUUGCAGUCUUCACCCAACCAGGACAAAAGCUAUUAACAUAAAUCUUCUCUCCCUCUUGUCUCCUCAAAAGUUCUUUAGCUACUAGUCUCGUGUAUCCGUUGACGGCAAGCUUAGACAUGGAGUAGUCGGUGAAUGUCUGAGGCCACCCGCCUGACUCCCAAGUUUUGUCUUUUACUUGGUCGAUGAACUUAGACACAGUUCGGUCUAUGAGUUCUUCCGUCAGCAAAUCCGGAUUGCUUAGCUUCUCUCUCAACUCUACAUUUGCAAGUCUCUGCACAGGAAAACGCAUGCAGUUUCACGGCAAUUUCUUUCAAUUACAAUUCAAAGAUAAGAGUGAAAUGGUUUACUUACAUUACGUCUUCCAUUUACUCGACCUAGCCUGGAACUAACGUUAACAAUACGAGCGCCCUGAGGAGACGGUCUCAUCAGUGGUAUCAUAGCUUUUAUCAUGUUUUUGGUUCCUUGGUAAUUGAUAGAUAUAACUGUCUCAGCAAAUUCAACCGAAUUAUCUGAGCCGAGAUUGUAGUUGACUCCUGCGUUGUUCACCUGAAAUUUUACAGUCACACGAACGAAUGCAUAUAAUCAGCUAAAGAAAAAAAAACAGAAGAACUAUCCUCUAACAUUACAUAUCCAUAGGAUCUUACGAGAAUAUCUAGACCUCCAAAUGUUUGCUUAAUCCAGCAAGCAAACUCUUUAAUCGACGAGGAGUCACUGACAUCAAGCUGAUGAAAAUCAACUCUGAGACCCUCUUGGUUCCUCAAGGAAUUAACUGCUUCAAGACCAGCAUCCACGUUUCUGGCUGUAAGAACAACCGUCAAUCCGUGGCUCGCAAGCUGCCUUGCGAUUUCGAACCCAAUUCCUCGGUUUGAACCGGUCACCACUGCUACAUUUUCACAAGACCACCAUCUACAAAGCAUUCAACGCCUAAUCAGAAAUCAGAAGAGGGCAUGAAAGACAUAAUUUUUUUCUUUUCAGUUUCUCCAAAACCUAUUGGUUUAGUUAACCCAUAUCUAUAAGUACCAACGGUAUGAACAUAAACAGAGUCAAUGGUAUGAACAUAAACACUCGAUCUCUAUCUCCAAAUCCAGAACAAUACAAAGCUAAACUCAUCAAACAAUUUGACAACUAUAGCUAAAACACUGUACGGGAACCUAGAAAUGGACGUAAGCAAGUCAUAGUAUCAUAGUAGAGAUUAACACCUCAAUGAUAGCACAAUGCUUGUGAAACUGAGAUUUCCGCAGAGCAAAUCGCAAUGAUAUUGGUAAACAAACCAGCCGAAUUAAUUAGGUUCGAUUCAUACCUCUGGCGGUCAGAGUAAGGAAUGGUUCGAAGGAGAGAGAUCUCCUGCAUCCUUUUCUCCCUUCUCUCCCGCGCUUUCUCCUUGUUCGUCAUCGCCUUCUUCCUCGGCCUAGUUGUGUUGGGGGUGUACGGUUUGUAGUAGUCUUGUCCGCAGGGAAUCAAAUUCAAUAUAUCAGCCGAGUGAUCUAAAUUAUUUAAUGGGAACCUUCAACUUUUGACAAAAACACAUAUUAGCCUUAAACCUUUUAAUUUCACUAUUUAAUCCAAUUGCAGCGACAAAUCUUUCUUCCUUCCAGAUUCUUCUCAACAGAUAUUGACAUAUUACAAGAGCUCUGUUUCACAACUCUAUAAAACACAAAAAUGUUACUUUCCGAAGAUUUAAGUAAGACCUUCAAUCCAGCUGCUAGCGUCUUGCUUCUUUGCUUUGGUCUUCUUCAUCAGUCUCCUCAACUCCAUAACACUUGUCCAAUCUCCUUUCUCGCCAUGAACUCUACACAGAACAUCAUAAGCCGCGGGAUGCUCUCUUCUCAGCCUCGAGAUUCCCUCAGCAGCAACUUCACCGAGCUCCAAACAUGAAUGCAAUCCGCAAGCCCUGAGCAAAGCCCCCCAAAUAACAACAUCUGGCUCAAAAGGCAUUCCCUUUAUCAAUCUCUCUGCUUUAUCUAAGUGACCGGCCCUCGCAAAUAGAUCCACCAUACAUGCAUAAUGCUCCUUCUCUGCAGCUAUACCAAGCCUACCCAUCAACAUGAACUGUUUUUGCCCUUUUUCCACUAGCCCAGCAUGAGCACAAGCCGAUAACAAGUUAAUGAAAGUCACCUGAUCAGGCCUGUAACCACACUCUAUCAUCUUCUCGAAUUCCUCUAAAGCAUCCACUCCUAAUCCAUGUCUUGCGAAACCUCCUAUCAUCGAAUUCCAUGAAGCCGGAUUCUUCAAAGGCAUCAACUUAAACACACGUGAAGCAGCGGUAAUAUCACCUGACUUGGCAUACAUAUCUAUGAGCGAAGUCGACAGGACUAUGUCACAAGCCAUUCCGCGCUUUGUGACCAUUGAGUGCACUUGUUUCCCCAUAAGAAGCGACGAAGAAGCUGCACACGCUUUUAAAACAGUCGAAAAUGUGUAGUGGCUUGGCCUAUUAUUCCAAGAUUCAACCAUUUCCCGAAAAAGCAUCAGAGCUAUUCUAAAUUCCCUGCUCUGUACGUAGCCAUUGAUCAUCACAGUCCAAGAAAAGACAUUCUUUUGACUCAUUCGAUUGAACAAUUCUCUAGCUUUAUCGAUCUUGGUGUUGUUUAUGUAUCCAAUUAACAUUGUGUGCCAAGUAAUGAUGUUCCUCUCCGGCAUUUCACCGAAUGCUCUCUCACCAUCUUCCACAAAACCUAAUUUCAUGUAACCCGUAAUAAACACAUUCCACGACACCACAUCCUUGAACAAAAUAUCCUCAAAAACUCUUUCUAAACCCCUGAAAUCUCUAAAGCUUGUGUAGGCUCGUAACAAAGCAGACCCAGUAUAAGGGCUUAAGCUAAGCCCUAAUCGAAUAGCAAGCGUGUGAAUUUGCAAAACAGAAACCUUAAACGUAGAUCCCAAUACUGCAUCCAUUAUCGCAGGGAGGGUAAGCUCAUCUGGAUUCAACCCAGAUCUCCGCAUUGCUAUAAAAAAACUAACAACACUUUCUGGAUCUCUGGUUUUCUUCAAACCCAUGAGCAUGGUGUUCCACGACACCAUAUCUCUGACAGGCAUUUGAUCGAACACCUGGUGAGCUUCCAACAUAAGACCACGCUGAACAUAAGCAGUAAUCAUCAUGUUCCAUGUUGAAUUGUCCAGCGAUGUACGGUUUCGAUCAAACAGCUUGCGUGCUUCAACCAAACCAUCCUCCCGCAAGUGAUCGUUGAUCAAACGGUUGAGAGUAGCCUUUGGUAUCGUGAAAAUCCGGCGCGAAAAAUGUCCGCAUAGAAAAGUUGCACUUGUCUCUAACGUGCGCAUUUAGCCAAAUGAGCGGGUCAAGUUUUCACACCCAAAGCGGGUUAUUAGACUGGAUCCAAAUUCAAUUUGUACUAAACUACAAACAAGUGUAAUUAAAUAAUUGUAAUUAAUCUUUGGUUAUCUAUCAUGUCACAUAAUUAUAAUCUGUAGUUAUCUAUCAUGUUACAUAAGUAAAUGUUAUUGAAAGAGGAUAGCUAAAUAGUUAUCAUGUAACAUAAUUAUAAUCUGUCGUAUGUUGUUAUCUAUCAUAUGUUACAUAAAUGUUAUUGAAAGAGGACACCUACAUAAUACCGGGUUUGUGACGAGAGCGAUGACCUCAUUAGAUACACGUGUCAAGUACGUAUACCGGACCUAGCGUCUACGUCUCUGCGCUUAUGGGCGUUCGCAUUUCACAUGAUAAAUAGAUAACUCUCGAAUUGUUCCUCGUAGGCACUCUCCAUAGCAAUACAGACUUUUUUUUUUUCUCCGAUCACCGAUGAGAGUGUCAAGUUUAACAAACCUUUAAAGAAGCGGGAAAAUCAUCAGUUUGCUGGGAAUCUCCUUUAUCCGGUACCCACGUAAACUCUCUCUCUGUUUGCCAUCGUUUUUUUUCCUCUGUGUCUAAAUUUCGCGAUCGAAUUCUUGGAAUUUCGCAAUCGAAUUUCGGGUUUGGAAUCCAAAAUCUAGACACAGAGAUUGAGAACGAUAGUUCCGUAGUAUAUGCGUUCGGAUAUUGGAAGUCAUAUUAAAGGGAGUUCCUGUCUGUGUCUCUGUUUAUGGAUGUUCUGAAAUUUUAGAUUGUUUGUGUUCAAAGUUUGAUUGUAAUUCAGGGUUAUACGAAAUGAGCUUCCGAUUUAUCUGUUCUAGCUAGCUUCCAUGAGUCACGGGUUGUUGGAAAAUUUUCAAAUUUUGGUGGUUAAGUAUGCGCAUAUGCUGAAAAUCCUCUAGUUAAACAAGGCCUCUAACUGGUUUUUCCUCUAGUGUUUAUAGUAUGAUUCCAAUCAAAUUCGAACAAAACUUUAGAGAUAUUUAUGCAUUAAUGAUUAGUUUCAUUUUGAGUUUCAUUUCUUACCAUACUGAUCUGGAAACAGGACAGAAUGGCUCGUUAUGGCGGGAGAUCGCUGAAAUCUUCCUUAGUUCUUCUUCUGGUCGCAUUGAGCACAUCACGUAGCCACGGCUUUCUUGGAACCGAGAAAAAGAUAAAGUCUGAAGUUUUCUUAUCACCAAAACUGGUGAUGAAUCCAGGAAACGCUGCAAAUCCUUUCCUAUUCGACAUCGACUUCCCGAGAGGGCAUUACGGCCUCAAAGGUUUCGAUGCUGAAAUGGUUGACGAAGAAGGCAAUCCCGUACCUCUACACGAGUUAUAUCUUCACCACUGGGUUAUUCAACCUUACUAUGUUCGUAAAGGUUUUGAGCUUUCACAGCGAGACAUGCCUAGAAAUCACGGAUUUGCGAGGCAAGAUCCCGGAAGGAAUCUUGGUUCGAAAUCCGAUUUUAUUCUUGUCAACAAUGGAGGGCUGUGCAGGAAUAAUGUAAGACAUUACUUUGGUUUAGGAUCAGAAACCCGCAAAACCUCGACGUAUCUUCCUGAUCCUUACGCGAUUGAAAUCGAUAAUCCUGAGGAAAGGCCUGAUGGAUAUGAAUUCAAAUGGCUUCUAAACCUUCACGCGAUAGACACAAGAGGCGUUGUAGAUAAAUCAGGAUGCACCGAGUGCCGUUGUGAUCUGUAUAAUGUAACCAUUGAUGAGUAUGGUCGAGCUAUAAGACCCGACUACAAUGGAGGUUUAUACUGCUGCUACGAUAAGACGCAAUGUCGGGUGAGAAAUGGAUUUGACAAUGGGGAGAAAACAAGAAGUGUGUAUCUGAAAUAUACCGUGAAAUGGGUUGAUUGGGAUAGCACGGUUUUGCCCGCUACGAUUUAUAUCCUCGAUGUUACAGAUUCUUGGGAACGAUCACAAGGAUCAACAGGAGAUAGCCAGGAACAUUAUUGCCAUGUCAGUAAAAAAACUUUCGCAUCUUUGCUUAAUACCUUUACUUAGCAUUCUUUCUAAAAAAAUGAUCGGUGUCUUAUGUCUUUUCAGAUUGAAUACGAGGUGAAACCGUGCAAAACCAAUGGCGAUGGAUGCGUGGAUGUCAAGAAAAAGAGCUUAAUGAUGCCAUUUAACGGGUAUAUUGUUUACGGCGUAGCUCACCAGCACGCGGGUGGUAUCGGUGGUGCUCUAUACCGAGAGGUAAUAAAGUCUGAUUUUGUUUAAGCUAAUGCAGAACCAAACAUUAAAACUUUUUACUGAAUUGAGACCAUUGUGUUAUGUGGAUUGAUCAGGACGGUGAGAGAAUUUGCUCUUCGAUGCCAAAGUAUGGCAAUGGAGACGAACCUGGAAACGAAGCUGGUUACAUUGUUGGAAUGUCGUCUUGUUACCCUGAACCUGCAGUGAAAGUGACUAAGGGAGAGACAUUGACCUUGGAGUUUAAUUACAGUACCACCAAUGGUCAUACCGGAGUUAUGGGACUCUUUUACAUCCUCGUUGCUCAGCAGCUACCUGAACCGGAGAGCUCCUUGCCUGCACUCUUUCAGGUAACCACCCGGUGCCGGAACUCGGUUUAUUCAGACCGGCUUCAACACAUACACGGUUUUUGAGAUAUUGCCAUGUGGUUACUUUACUUAUGUUAGUAUUCAUCAUAUCUUUGCAGGCACAUGCGAAAAGCAUGAGCGUUUUAGCCUUCCUUGCGGUGAUGGUGGUGGUGGCGGUUAUUGUUCUAAUAGCCGCCGUGGUAUACCGGAGACAGAAUCGGGAAGAUGGUUACCAAUCACUUAGCACUUGAAAGUAAAACUAUAUGUCGGCUAGAUAUUUUUCUUUAGUGUGAUAUGUCGACCUAGAACUAUAAAUAAAAGAACUAGACCCAUGGGCGGGUGUAAGGUUUAUUUUGUAACAACAUUUAAGAAAUGUAUACUGGAGUUGGUGUAUUAAAAUGAUUGAGUUUUAUAUGAUCAGAUGGCAUUUUAAAUACAGUACGAUUCAUAAAAAUAUUAAUCAUAUAAUACCAUAAGUUUUGUCAACGAAUGUUUUAUCGUUGACGACAGAUGUAGACAUGUAGUAUAUUUCAUAUUUGGCAGGCAAUAUAAAUAAUUAUAUAGCUUUAUAGCUCUGUACGUAGCCAUUGAUCAAAAGACAUUCUUUUGACUCAUUCGAUUGAACAAUUCUCUAGCUUUAUCGAUCUUGGAGUUAUUUAUGUAUACAAUUAACAUUGCGUGCCAAGUAAUGAUGUUCCUGUCUGGGAUUUCACCGAAUGCUCUCUCACCAUCUUCCACAAAACCUAAUUUCAUGUAACCCAUAAUCAACACAUACCACAUCCUUGAGCAAAAUAUCCUCAAAUGCUCUUUCUAAACCCUGAAGUCCCUAAAACUUGUGUAGCCUCUUAACAAAGCAGACCCAGUAUAAGGGCUUAAGCUAAGCCCUAAUCGAAUAGCAAGCGUGUGAAUUUGCAAAACAGAAACCUUAAACGCAGAUCCCAAUACUGCAUCCAUUAUUGGAGGGAGGGUAAGCUCAUCUGGAUUUAACCCAGAUCUCCGCAUCGCUAUAAAACACUAACAGCACUUUCUGGAUCUCUGGUUUUCUUCAAACCCAUAAGCAUGGUGUUCCACGACACCACAUCUCUGACAGGCAUUUGAUCGAACAUCUGGUGAGCUUCCAACAUAUAAGACCACGUUGAACAUAAGCAGUAAUCAUCAUGUUCCAUGUUGAAUUGUCCAGCGAUGUCCGGUUUUGAUCAAACAGCUUGCGUGCUUCCACCAAACCAUCCUCCCGCAAGUGAUCGUUGAUCAUACGGUUAAGAGUAGCCGUUGGUAUCGUAAAAAUCCGGCGCGAAAAAUGUCCGCAUAGAAAAGUUGCACUUGUCUCUAACGUGCGCAUUUAGCCAAAUGAGCGGGUCAAGUUUUCACACCCAAAGCGGGUUAUCCAACUGGAUCCAAAUUCAAUCGGUACAUAUUCUAUUAAAACAAAAGCACAUUUAGUGUUUGCAUUCAAACACUCACAAAGUUUUUUAAUAAUAUUUUAUUUUAUUUUUAUAUUUAAUUUCCAAAAAUUAGUUAUUAAUUUAGAUAUUUUUAAAUUUCCUAAAAUCUAGGUCAUCUUUAAUUUAAAUUUCAAAUUAUUAGAAAUUUAAUUAAAUUUAGUUACAAAAUUUUGCAUUCAAUUUAAUUUAAAUUCAAAAAAUUCAAAAAAAAUUAUAAUUAAAUUUUAUUACAAAAAUUUAGAUAAUAAUUUUAAUACUUUAAAAAUCUCUUACAUACAAGAAAGAUUUAAUUUUAAAUUUUAAAUUUAAAUAAUAUUUUUAUUAAAAUGCAUAGUAAAUAAAUAUUUUAUCGUAUUUUAUCAUAAACAAUCGGUCUAAAAUAUCAAAUAUUUGAGAUUAAUAAAUAUUUAUAUUAUACAAUAAUAUGAUCGAACUGAUUAGAAUUAUAUAUAUAUAUAUAUAUUUAAGGUUCAUGAGUUAAUUUAUUGCAACAUGUAAGAUAUUAAGAUGAUUUGAGAUAAUUAAACUAACAAGUUAGCCCGUUUAUAUAUAUAUAUAUAUAUAUAUAUAUAUUUUUUAAUAGCACAAAUAGUAAAUAAAUAUCUUAUUAUAUUUUUUAUAAUCAAUUGAUCCAAAUAUUCCAUAUUAGUAAAUAUUUAUAGGGUUAUACAAUUAUAAUUAUAGUCUUAUACGGGUUAGUUUGUCAAAACAUGUAAGAUAUUAAAAAUGAUUUAAGACAACUAAACGGAUAGAUUAGCAAAUUCAUAGAUAUAUAGAUUGUUUAUGUGUAAAUCUAAAUUCAUAUAAUAACAAAGUUUAUAAUUAACAUUAGAUCAAUAUAUACUUAAUUAACGUAUACUCUUAUUCUACUAAUAUACAAAUUUUACUGUUUAAAAUUAAAUAUGAUAACAAUUUUUUAAUUUAAAAAAAUAAAUAAAAAAAUAAAUUAUAUCUAAAAAAAGAUAAAUGUAACUUAUAUUAGAAAUAAAAAAUAAAAUAUUAUCGUGCGGACGCACGGGGUUAAAAUUUAGUAUUAUAUCAAAACAGUAACACCUUUUUUAAACAGUUUUAAAUCUAUCCUAAUAUAUUUAAAUAUUAUUUUAAAAAACACAUUUUCUUUAAUAUAAAAAUUUAAUUCUAAAAAUUAGAUAUUAAUUUAGAUAACUAAGGAUUUCCUUAAAUAUACAUUAUAUUUAAUUUAAAUUCAAACUAUUUUUUGUAAUAACAUUAAUUUUAAAAAUAAAUAUUAAUUUAAAUUACUUUAGAUUUUCUUAAAUAUAGAUCAGAUUUAGUUUAACAUUGAAAUCCAAAUAAUAUUUUCAGGACAACAAAUAUAAUUAAUGAAUACCUUAUUGUAUUUUUUAAUCAUAUUCAAUUAGACUAAAAUUUUACAUGUUAAAAACAAAUAAAUAUUAAUAUUAUUGGUAAUUUGAUGGAACGGGUUAUGUUAUUUUAUAAUUGUGAUUUUAUGUGGAUUGGUUUAUCAAAACAUACAAGAUAUUAUAAUAAAUAUUAUUUUAAAAUGAGGAAAUAUUUAUAUUAUAUAGUAAUAUGAACAGACGGAUUAGAAUUAUAGUUUUAUAACUAUAGUUUUUUUUGGAUUAAUAGAAUGAGUGAGUUAUAAAUAUGUUUUUAUAAUAAAUUUUAUUUUUCGAUUAAUAGAAUGAUUAGGUUAGAAUUAUGUUUUUAUGAUUGUGAUCAUAAUAAUACUAAAAAAAUAUAAAACAUAAAUUAUAUCUAAACAUAAAAACAAAUUUUUAACACUUAUUAAAAAUUAUAUCUAUAAAAAUAUAUAUUACAAAUUGAUUAAAAAAAAUCGUGUGCGGAUGUAGAGGAUAAAAUUUAGUUGAUAAUUAUAAUCUGUGGUGGUCAUCUAUCAUCUCACAUAAAUGUCGAGUAUUUUUAUUGUGCAAGAGAAUUGAAAGAGGGUAAAUUAAACCGGGUUAGUGACGAGAGCGAUGACCUCAUUGGAUACACGUGUCACGUAUACCGGAGCUAACGUCCUACGUCUCUGCGCUUAUGGGCGUUCGCAUUUCACAUGAUAAAUAAAUAUAUAACUCUCGAAUUGUUCCUUGUAGGCACUCUUCAUAGCAAUACAUCUGCUUUUUCUCCGAUACACCGAUGAGGGUUUUAACAAACGUUUAAAGAAGCGGGAAAAUCAUCGGUUUGCUGGGAAUCUCCUUUAUCCGGUUCGUACCCACUUAAACUCUCACUCUCACUCUGUUUGUCAUUGGCUUUUUUCCUCUGUGUUUAAAUUUUUCGCGAUCGAAUUCUGGGAGUUUCGCAAUCGAAUUCCAGGUUUGGAAUCCAAAAUCUAGACACAGAGAUUAGGAACGAUUGUUCCGUGGUGUAUGCGUUCGGAGUCAUAUUAAAUGGAGUUCCUGUCUGUGUCUCUGUUUACGGAUGUUCUGAAAUUUUAGAUUGUUCGUGUUCAAAGUUUGAUUGUAAUUCAGGGUUAUACGAAAUGAGCUUCCGAUUUCUCUGUUUUUGCUGGCUUCCAUGAGUCACGGGUUGAUGGAAAAUUUUCAAAUUUUGGUGGUUUAGUAUGCGCAUGUGCUGAAAUCUUCUGGUUAAGUUUAGGGUCAAAGUGGGUUUUCCUCUAGCUCAAAUUUUCGAACAAAACUUUUGAGAUAUUUAUGGGUUAAUGAUUAGUUGAAUUUUGAAUUUCAUUUCUGACCUCUCUAUACUGAUCUGGAAACAGGAGAGAAUGGCACUUUAUCGCGGGAUCUCUUCCUUCGUUCUUCUUCUGGUCGCAUUGAGCACAUCGCCUAGCCAUGGCUUUCUUGGGACCGAGAAAAAGAUAAAGUCUGCAGUUUUCUUAUCACCAAAACUGGUGAUGAAUCCAGGAUCAGUUGCAAAUCCUUUCCUAUUCGACAUCGACUUCCCUAGAGGGCAUAUCGGCCUCAAAGGUUUCGAUGCUGAAGUGGUUGACGAAUCGGGCAAUCCCGUCCCUCUACACGAGACAUAUCUUCACCAUUGGGUUGUCCAACCUUACUAUGUUCGUAAAGGUUUCGAGCUUUCACAGCGAGACAUGCCCAGGAAUCACGGAUUUGCGAGGCAAGAUCCCGAAAGGAAUCUUGGUUCGAGAUCCGAUUAUAUUCUUGUAAAAAAUGGAGGGCUGUGCAGGAAUAGUGUAAGACAUUACUUUGGGUUAGGAUCAGAAACCCGCAAAACCUCGACAUAUCUUCCCGAUCCUUACGCGAUCGAAUUCGAUAAUCCUGAGGAAAGGCCUGAUGGGUAUGAAUUCAAAUGGCUUCUAAACAUUCACGCGAUAGACACAAGAAGCGUUGUAGAUAAAUCAGGCUGCACGGAGUGCCGGUGUGAUCUGUAUAAUGUAACCAUUGAUGAGUAUGGUCGAGCUUUAAGACCCGGAUACAAUGGAGGUCUAUACUGCUGCUACGAUAAGACGCAAUGUCUGGUGAGAAGUGGAUUUGAUAAUGGGGAGAAAACAAGAACUCUGUAUCUGAAAUAUACCGUGAGAUGGGUUGAUUGGGAUACCACGGUUUUGCCCGCUAAGGUUUAUAUCCUCGAUGUUACAGAUUCUUGGGAACGAUCACAAGGAUCAACAGGAGAUAGCCAAGAACAUUAUUGCCAUGUCAGUAAAAAACUUUCGCAUCUUUGCUUAAUACCUUUACUUAGCAUUCUUUCUACAAAAAGAUCGGUUUCUUAUGCUUUUUUUCAGGUGGAAUACGAGGUGAAACCGUGCAAAGCCAAUGGAGAUGGAUGCGUGGAUGUUAAGAAAAAGAGCUUAAUGAUGCCAUUCAACGGGUAUAUUGUCUACGGCGUAGCUCACCAGCACGCGGGUGGUAUCGGUGCUGCUCUAUACCGAGAGGUAAUAAAAUCUGAUAUAGUUUGAGUUAAUGCAGAAGAAUCAAACAUUGAAACUUUUUACUGAAUUGAGACCCGUGUGUUGUGGAUUGAUCAGGACGGUGAGGGAAUUUGCUCUUCGAUGCCAAAGUAUGGCAAUGGAGACGAACCUGGAAACGAAGCUGGUUACAUUGUUGGAAUGUCGUCCUGUUACCCUGAACCAGUAAGAGUGACCAAUGGAGAGACAUUGACCUUGGAGUUUAAUUACAGUAAUACCCAUGGUCAUACCGGAGUUAUGGGACUCUUUUACAUCCUCGUUGCUCAGCAGCUACCUGAACCGGAGAGCUCCUUGCCAGCACUCUUUCAGGUAACCACCCGCUGCUGGAACUCGGUUUAUUUAAACCGGUUUCAACACAUACACGGUUUUGGAGAUACAUGCCAUGUGGUUACUUUAUUUAUGUUAGUAUUUUUCAUAUCUUUGCAGGC
RNAcentral lists this long non-coding RNA (21506 nucleotides) under Eutrema salsugineum. RNAcentral's name for it is "long non-coding RNA (ESAL_LNC000430)". Lineage: Eukaryota; Viridiplantae; Streptophyta; Magnoliopsida; Brassicales; Brassicaceae. The record is from RNAcentral.